Molecule: non-coding RNA, 3811 nt
Organism: Camellia sinensis
Lineage: Eukaryota; Viridiplantae; Streptophyta; Magnoliopsida; Ericales; Theaceae
Source: RefSeq, a predicted model, not a curated record
UAGAGCAGAAUCGAUUUCAAUAUCGAUUUGGAAGAUACGAUUCAACCUUCUUCAGCUCGGUGAUUUCGAUUUCGAAGUUCUCUCUCUCUCUCUCGAUUUCGAAGCUCCACCACCACCACCACCACCACCACCAUCUACAUCGCCUACUAAGGGUUUACAAUCUUGAAUCUCCUCCUAGGGUUUGGAUUAUGGUCGUGAUGGAAAAAUAUUUUCAAUUAUUAUCUGUUGCAAUAGAUUCCUUUCCAAACAACACUUGGAAUGAUGAUGGAAAUCUUUUGCCUGAAGCUAGAAGCAUGCUGGAUGAUCUGAAUCAGCUUUUUAUUGCACUGGAUGUGAGCCUCAGUGGGCGAGAACUUGAGGAGGACAAUGACAAUAUCUCAGCAAUCAGUGAACUCUUAAAGAGGUUGCAGUUAAGAAGAGCAAGAUACUGGACAGGAGGAAGCAUGGGCUGAACUAUCUAGAUAAAGCUCCUCUAUUGGCCUUGUAUUUUGUGACAAAACAGACUGUUAUCAGAUUAUUGGUUAAAGAUCUCGAUAACAUAAGUUGUGGCAGCAACCAAGUCAUACCCAGGACUGUUGGCGGCAAUGCCAGUUGUGGACUUGGGAGGGUGAUUUUGCAACUCAGGCUAGCUGAGAAAAUGAGCUGGACAGCGACCAUGAAUCCAGGCUUUUGAGGCCUCUUUAAUGCAAGAGCAAUGUAAAUCAAUCAAAAGGAGGAGGACAUUUCUAGAGCAAUCUUGAUAUGGAGAGCAAUCAAAUUACCAAUUUACUCUGCUGCCUUGGUUCCUCUCACUAAUUCGGUUUCUACAAAAACAGGUUGGAAGUGCAGCUGCUUAUUUGCAGACCGGCCUGUACUCUGCUAGACGUUAUUGUGUUAUUGGCUUCCUCGGUUCUUAUAAUCACUUGUCUAAAUUUAAGGUGUGAUACUAAGACACCUUGAUGGUAUAUGGAAUUCAGUUUAAUAUGACUCGAAAAUACGCAAGACAACUGUAAACAUCUUCAUACUAGAACUAUCUUUCACUCCUUUGUUUUCUGUGUAAAAUGGGCAGCAACGACGUUUAUGAUUUUGAUACUAGAGCAGAUAAGACUAAGAAAGAGUUAAGGCUCCCAACAAGUUUUCACUCUUCUAUGUAUGGGAUAUCCUUCUUGUUAUGCUUUGUUUUGAUUUACAAAAUUAUCAUUCAACUAACUGUGCCACAUGAUCUUUAGUGUUCUUUGGAGUGCAUCAUACUUACCCGUCCCAUGAUUCUAAAUCUAAUCAUAGCUUUGUUUCAGUUUCUCUAUGCCCUAACCUUGCCCGUUGGAAAACUAGUCAUCAACUAUGUUGAGCAGAACCACAAGGACAAAAUGAAGAUCAUUAUGGCGAAGUAUUACUGUGUGAGAUUGCAUGCUUUAUUCGGUGCUGUUUUGGCAGCUGGACUGGUAGCAGCUAGAACCAUCGCUGGAAAAUAUGUUGACAAGAUGGUUUUUCUCUGAUUUUCCACUCCAUAGAUUUCAAAAUUUUCCUGGCAUUUUCCAUUACUUUCUUUGGUGAAUGGGGUGACAAGAGUCAGCUACCAUCGGCUUGGCCGCAGAUGAGAACCCACUUGGUGUUGUCCUUGGUGGAAUCUUAGGACAAGCAUUUUGCACUACUGCUGCUGUCCUGGAAGAAAAGAGCUUGGCAUCUCAGAUAUCUGAAAAAAUUAUAAUUAACAAAAUUUUCAUUUUUGUUGUAUCACAUUCGAUUGUUAAAUUAGCUGUAACCAUGUAGUCUUGAUUCCGAUGCAGGUUGCACUCUCAGGUUGCACUUUCUCUACUCUUUAGAAUUUGAUAAGAUAGUAUUGUCUUGAAUCAUGUAAUUUGAGAAGUGACAGAAUGGUGUUUUUGAAUAGUUGGAUUUCAGAUGAAGUUGAUCUUUGCUUAUCAAAAAGACAAAAAGAAGAGAUUGAAAGACAUUAGAUUUGAAAAAUUAAAUCUCACAGAAAUAGCACAAUUUCAACAACCCAAAAAAAAAAAAAAACUACAGCGGUGUUUUCAAACGCCACUAUAAUAUAGUGUAAACAAUAUAGUGUAAACGGUUAUAUUUUUAAAUAGAAAAGAGCUAUAACGGCGUUUUUAUAACGUUGCUAGAUGCGGAGGGACGUCAUUGUAGUGUUAUGUAGCACAUUUAGCGGCGUUUUAACAAGCGCCGCCUAUACUUAUAUAGCAAUGUUUUUAAAGCGCCAUAAAGCUAUAGCGACGGCCACAUUUUUGGCGUUUGGUACUAAACGUCACAAAAAGAAUUAGCGGCGUUUUUGAUAGCUAUGGAGGCGUUUUUUAAACGUCUUUAAAAGUAUAAUUUUCAGCUGUGUAUGAAGUCAAAUGAUGUUUGUGGUGAAGCGAAUAAAGUUUCUCCUCCUAAAGCUGGUAGAAGUAUACUUGAUCUCUCUAGCUUGAGGAUUUCUAGGUAAUAUGUUAAUUUUGCGUCUUCUGUUUUUGCCUCUUUAUCUGUGGUAAAUGGGUAAUAUUGUCACUGAUUUUUUGAAAAUCACUUCUCCUAUCAAAGGACCAUAGGAGCAAACAAAUAUCCAUCACAAUCUUCAAUUCAGAAAGAAAUUAAAUCCUUAAGAAACCCAGAGCAAAGCAUGUUCCAUGAUGGAACUACAAGGAAGCACAGCAUCCAAGAUGGCCCAUUCUGUUUGCACAGAGAAGCAAACCCCAUCCACCCCAUGUCUGAAGCGGAAAAAGUUGUUAUUCUUUCUCUUUCUCUUUUAUUUUAUUUUUAAUUUAAAUUUUUUUGUGUUCUUUCCCAAAUGAAGAGAAAUUUGAGCAUUACAGAGAAAUUUGGGGCAGUAUAACACAUAUGAUAUUAUGUCAGAAUUAUAUUGAUACCUUAUCAAUGUUAUAACUUUAUAUGAUGCAGGGAUUAAAUGCAGAUAUGCUGACCUUAAAUCCAUCAAAACGUCUUGCACCAUCAACUACCGAAAGCUGGCCCUAUCCUAUCAUAUUAUUGUCUAUUUAUCUGGUCAAAUUUAAAAUUUUUAGGUUGUUUCCUCUAUUUACACAUGUUUUUCUCUGGAAUUUAAAAGUGUUCGAGGAAGUUCAGAAAAAGUUGUUGUCAAAGAGGUAGAUUUCAUCCUUUUAUUUUAAUUUUUUAGGCAUGUUAAUGUAAGAGGGUUAAAUAAGGAUUUGUUGAAACAUUGAAACAACUGAAGUCUGAUAAUCAGGGAAUUAUAACUGAUGUCCAAUGAUUUUUUAUUAAUGACUAGGUUUGCGGCCAUGCGAAUCGCAAAACCUUUACUCUGGAUAUUCCUCAGGAGGUGAACAUGACAACUAGAAAUCCCUUUUGUAAUGGAAAAUUAUGUCACUGUUGAAAAGGCCGAAGCAUAUACAAAGGAGCUUGAAGAUAUUUGCAACAUGCUGAGAAAGAAACACGAGGAGGCAAAGGAAAUAUUAGUUCGAGGUCUUGUGAACAACAAUAAUCUGCUGAUGCUCAACCAUCCGAUUUAUGAAGAGAAAAUAUCCUUCCGACUGUUUUCGCUAUUACAUUUUCCUUCUUUUCUUUGGGGGGCAUAAUUUGUGACAUAAAACUAUAGCUGUUUGCUCCUUUACCACUGAAAUCAUCCGUGAAGUUCAGAAAUUUGCUGCUCAGCUAAUGUCCACACAGACAUGAGGAUCAUUUUGCAAUUCUCCAAGGUAAGUUCUCUUUCGAAUGCCUGAUUUUGUAUUUCACUAUAUCCAUUUGGUUUCAGUUGAUUGCCAUGCUACAUUGGUUCCAGAGACAACUAUUUGUAAUGUGGUAUCUCAUGUAUCGGGACUCUUUAAUGCUCGAAACUACUGCUGAUUUUUGUAUG